CUUGCAACCUCAAGCCAUCCAUGCAUGUUACAAUUUAAAAGUGAGCCCAUUCGCCUUUUACUGACUAUCCUGAAGCUUGCACCUCUUGUUACUGGCUAUAUAUCAGAGUCCCAGACUUUGAAUAUUAAGCUCAAAGGUUUUACUGAAGGAAAUAUACCGACGGCCUGCCUGCGGGUUACAAUUGAACAGCGAGCAGAGUUCAAUCCUGG
RNAcentral lists this unclassified non-coding RNA (209 nucleotides) under Hevea brasiliensis (rubber tree). Lineage: Eukaryota; Viridiplantae; Streptophyta; Magnoliopsida; Malpighiales; Euphorbiaceae. The record is from RNAcentral.